AGCGAACGCUGGCGGCAGGCCUAACACAUGCAAGUCGAACGAACUCUUCGGAGUUAGUGGCGGACGGGUGAGUAACACGUGGGAACGUGCCUUUAGGUUCGGAAUAACUCAGGGAAACUUGUGCUAAUACCGAAUGUGCCCUUCGGGGGAAAGAUUUAUCGCCUUUAGAGCGGCCCGCGUCUGAUUAGCUAGUUGGUGAGGUAAAGGCUCACCAAGGCGACGAUCAGUAGCUGGUCGGAGAGGAUGAUCAGCCACAUUGGGACUGAGACACGGCCCAAACCCCGCGGGAGGAGUGGAGGGGGGUACUUUGCGGAAGGAGGGAAGCCGCAGCACCGCCGUGCGGGGGGAAUAAGGAGGCUCUUAGUAUUGAAAUUUUCUUCCCCCGGGAACGAGAAUGACGGCCCCGGGGAAAGAAGCCCCGGCUAACUCCGUG
RNAcentral lists this ribosomal RNA (433 nucleotides) under uncultured bacterium. Its description in RNAcentral is "partial 16S ribosomal RNA". It matches the Rfam family "Bacterial small subunit ribosomal RNA", at positions 29 to 507 of the family's 1533-position model. The record is from RNAcentral.